Molecule: ribosomal RNA, 426 nt
Filed under: uncultured bacterium
Lineage: Bacteria
Description: bacterial SSU rRNA
Rfam family: Bacterial small subunit ribosomal RNA
Source: RNAcentral
GUGGGGAAUAUUGCACAAUGGGCGCAAGCCUGAUGCAGCAACGCCGCGUGAAUGAUGAAGGCCUUCGGGUCGUAAAGUUCUGUCCUAUGGGAAGAAGAAGUGACGGUACCAUAGGAGGAAGCCCCGGCUAACUACGUGCCAGCAGCCGCGGUAAUACGUAGGGGGCAAGCGUUAUCCGGAAUCAUUGGGCGUAAAGGGUGCGUAGGCGGCUGAGCAAGCCAGAGGUAAAAGGCAAUAGCUUAACUAUUGUAAGCCUUUGGAACUGCUUAGCUUGAGUGCAGGAGAGGAAAGUGGAAUUCCUAGUGUAGCGGUGAAAUGCGUAGAUAUUAGGAGGAACACCAGUGGCGAAGGCGACUUUCUGGACUGUAACUGACGCUGAGGCACGAAAGCGUGGGGAGCGAACAGGAUUAGAAACCCGAGUAGUCC